GUAAGGAGCUGGCUUACCUUGGCAGCCAUGUGAUCUAGCACGGGACUGUUACAUCGUAGGCCUUUGAGAAAUGUUUUGGAAGCUGUAUUUGAUUUGCCAGUUCACUUACUAAGUGAGUGGAUAAGGCAAAACACAUACACACGAAGAAAAAAGUCAAAAUGACAAAAACACCCCAAGAGGAGCUCCUGUUGUGCCUCAGGGGAGUGAGAACCCAACUAGUGCUCACGAGGACGCGGGUUCCAUCCCUGACCUCCCUCAGUGGGUUAAGGGUCCAGCGAGCUGCGGCACAGGUUGCAGAUGCAACUCGAACCUGGCGUUGCUGAGUCUGUUGCAGAGGCCAGCAGCUGCAGCUCUGACCUAGCCUGGGAACUUCCAUAUGCUGCAGGUGCGGCCCUAAAAAGAGAAUAAAGUAGGAUAGGAUAGGAUAAGAUAGGAUAGGAUAGGAAAAGACAGGAUAAUAAAAUGCAAUACUUAACACCUCAGGAGCAUGGAUAAAAUGAAGAAGGAAUAGUGGGUCACUGCUUCAGUGUUUAAGCCAUAGAUUUACAGAAUUUACCCCUCAUUAUUAUUAUUACCUUAUUUAAAUCUUACAAAACCUUGCUAAAUUGACAGAAUUAUUCCUGUUUUAUAGGCAAGGAGUUCAAACUUCAGGAAAAUUCAUGUCUUGCUAAAGACGAAACUAGUACUAUGUAGAAGAGUUGGGAUUAGAUUCAAAUAAGCGAUUUUAAGAUUUGAGUUGGAGAGUAAAGUGUAAAUACAAAAAUAGUUUUAAAGAGUUGUAGAAAAAGAUAGAUUACUGGGUAGAUGCACUUGUAUUAUAUUUACAGUGAAACAAAUACGUUCACUUUUGAUGUCCGUAUAAAACGUGAGGUUCCACAGUUUUAUGGGCAUAAUGUAAUAAUUGCAUUUGUUUCAAGCUUGAAAAUACGUGGGGAAAAGUGUUGUAGCCGAACAAGGAUUUGAAUCUUGGGUAAAGCAGACGCUUUUCUGCUUGAGUCAUGUGAUCUUGAUUUUUUUCAUUUUAGGAAAGCGGAGUGUGGGCACAUCAGCUCCAGACAUCCUAGGCCUUCUGAUAAACAAAUAUCAGCAUUUUUGACGAGCAGCAUUUGCCCAGUUUUUGUCCAAAUACUCCUCUUAAGAGUGGAAAAUGGCACGGAAAUGGGUUGGCAUUGAUAACUGUUGUUGGCAGACAUCACCUCUCACAGCUUUUCGCCUUGUCAAAGGAUGCCUCGUUCCCAAGGGAGUUCUGUAAGAGCAAAGCAAACGACCUGUAGGCAUAAAUCAGCGAGUUUGCUGCACGAGAGGACAUUCAUCUGGAAAGUCAGACACCCCUGUCAACUUCCAAUUUCUGGAGGUGGCAUUUCUUGAGGCCCUCCCUCUUGGAUUGGUGAGAGCCACUUCUUCACUCUUAAGGGAGGGAAGUGAAAACCCAGGGUUUCCUCCCUGUGUCAAUAAUCCACAACUUGAACAUGUGCCGACGUUUCUGAUUUCCUGGGAUUCUGCUGAAAUGGCCUUGGGGUUAGGAUACUCUAGGACAGUGAUCAGAAUGAGACCCCACUCUCAGGGAGCUCACAGCCUCAGUUAUUUUCAGCAUUCUUUAUAGUGCAGAGAAUCAGUGCUCCUUUUCUCCCAGCCUUGGGUUUUCAUUGCUGAACUUAAGACAUCGUAAGAAAAUGGCUGCUCAGCACACAUACACAGACUGAAGCACACACUUUAAAAACUAUCGUGAAAUGAUUAUAAAACCCACAAAAGACAUCCUCAGGUCCAGGGGGCUGCUGACUCCCAACUCAGGCUCUGUAAUCAGUAGCUUUCCAACUUUUAGACAGGUGCCAUCUAAAUCCAAGAUCGCCUGUGAACGGGAGAUUACAUCAGUCUGCGCAGAAUAAGCCUGUAACACUGUUCAUGAAACAAAUUUCACUGAGAUGAAAUUGGAAAUUUUUGAAUUUAAAAAAAUCAAAACAGAUAGGGCCAUUUAUAAGUUAUCUGCCAUUUUAUUUAGGAAUUUUAGGGCAAAUCAUGAUGAAAAUUAAGUUUAUUUCAAUCAGCUUUGUAGGUUACAAUUCAGAACAACUUUAAGAACUUUAAUAUCAAUCAAUUCUUUGAAAUUUUAUUACAGAAUAAAUUUGCCAAAACUGAAAGGGAAGAAAAAGAAUAUAUAUAGAAAUAUAAUUGUCCCAAUUAAGUUAUAUUCUUAUAGGGAAU
This 2202-nucleotide long non-coding RNA is filed under the name Sus scrofa (pig). Its description in RNAcentral is "lncRNA (ENSSSCG00030061548.1)". Lineage: Eukaryota; Metazoa; Chordata; Mammalia; Artiodactyla; Suidae. The record is from RNAcentral.